GAUGAACGCUAGCGGCAGGCUUAAUACAUGCAAGUCGAGGGGCAACAUGGUGUAGCAAUACACUGAUGGCGACCGGCAAACGGGUGCGGAACACGUACGCAAUCUACCCAAAACUGAUGAAUAGCCCUCCGAAAGGAGGAUUAAUACAUCGUAACUUAAUGAAGUGGCAUCACUUUAUUAAUAUAGCUCCGGCGGUUUUGGAUGAGCGUGCGCCUGAUUAGGAGUUGGCGGGGUAACGGCCCACCAAGCCUGCGAUCAGUAACUGGUGUGAGAGCACGACCAGUCACACGGGCACUGAGACACGGGCCCGACUCCUACGGGAGGCAGCAGUAAGGAAUNUUGGUCAAUGGACGCAAGUCUGAACCAGCCAUGCCGCGUGAAGGAUGAAGGUCCUCUGGAUUGUAAACUUCUUUUAUCUGGGACGAAACCUCUUAUUCUUAAGAGACUGACGGUACCAGAGGAAUAAGCACCGGCUAACUCCGUGCCAGCCGCCGCC
This 496-nucleotide ribosomal RNA is filed under the name uncultured bacterium. Its description in RNAcentral is "bacterial SSU rRNA". It matches the Rfam family "Bacterial small subunit ribosomal RNA", at positions 28 to 519 of the family's 1533-position model. The record is from RNAcentral.